Molecule: ribosomal RNA, 405 nt
Filed under: uncultured bacterium
Lineage: Bacteria
Description: partial 16S ribosomal RNA
Rfam family: Bacterial small subunit ribosomal RNA
Source: RNAcentral
GAUGAACGCUGGCGGCGUGCCUAAUACAUGCAAGUCGAACGGAGCGGGGGCGGGUGAGUAACACGUGUAUAACCUCCUAUAAGACUGGGAUCACUUCGGAAAACCGGAGCUAAACCGUAUACGUAUAGUUGUAUCUGCUCUUCAUUGGCUUGUUGGUAAGGUAACGGCUUACCAAGGCAACGAUGCAUAGCCGACCUGAGAGGGUGAGGGGUAACAGGGGAACUGAGACACGGUCCAGAAGUGUAAGGGAGGCAGCAGUAGGGAAUCUUCCGGAAUGGGCGAAAGGCUGACUGGGCAACUCCGCGUAAGUGUUGAAGGUCUUCGGAUCGUAGAACUCUGUUAUUAGGGAAGCGGUACCUAAUCAGAAAGCCACGGCUAACUCCGUGCCAGCAGCCGCGGUAAUAC